CUAAUUAUAUAUAGAUACGCCACUCCGCUGUUGGGGCUGGCGACAUUACCGCCACGCCAAAAUUCCCCCUGGUGACAAUUCACAGGUACUAAUUUUGGGUGUCUCCCUUUGGGAAAAUUGGAAAAGUUUUUUCUCUCCAGUUUCAGUUCAAUUGGUUCGGUUGCAUCGUAGCAACUGGAUCUUUUCAAACUGUUUGUUUUCUGUCAACAACAUCGUGACUCCAAAUCAUUGGCUUUUUAAUGUCCUUAUAAAAUCCCCCGAUUUCGGGCUUCUCAGACCUACAAAAAAACCCCAUGAACGGUACCGAUUCUUUCGGUGGUACUCAUUGACGUGGAGCACAACCUCAGGAUUUGCGAUCUAAAUCGCCUGAGACGACCUGCCAACCAUUCCGCCAAAGCAUCGAAACCUGCACAAACCGCCUCUUGUCCAAUUCAACCAAAAGUAGGUGGUUAUUAGCGGUGCAGUUUUGUCCAUAAAUGCAGGUGUAGGAUAAUAAGUUUCAUCGAAAAUGCCAUCACAAAAAGGUCUUUUUUAACAGGCCCGCAUUUCUUGCUUCGCCCUUCAAUUUGAAGUUUCAACGCGUACAACAACAACCCGGAAACGUUAUCCUGGUGUAACUUCCGCCAGAUCUUUGCCCUUCGAAAUUAAGAUGCGGCCACGACCUGAGUGGUGGCUACAGCUUUCCUUCCUUCAGCAAAGGCUUAGCAGGGUCUGACACCUCACGAAACUUACUCUAGCUGCGACAAAUAACUGCUGAAAAAAGUAAAGUGGAUACCGCCAAGAUCGUUGGCAAGAGGAAAAUGUAGUUGUAAUAAAUGAUUAUUUGUUUACAAUUUAAAAUAAAAUGUUGAUACUGAAAA
Long non-coding RNA from Culex pipiens pallens (northern house mosquito), 860 nucleotides. RefSeq lists it as uncharacterized. The transcript has 2 exons. The record is from RefSeq and is a predicted model, not a curated record. Lineage: Eukaryota; Metazoa; Arthropoda; Insecta; Diptera; Culicidae.